AUGAACGCUGGCGGCGUGCCUAAUACCUGCAAGUCGCGCGAACGGACGAGAAGCUUGCUCCUCUGAUGUUAGCGGCGGACGGGUGAGUAACACGUGGAUAACCUACCUAUAAGACUGGGAUAACUUCGGGAAACCGGAGCUAAUACCGGAUGAUAUUUUGAACCGCAUGGUUCAAAAGUGAAAGACGGUCUUGCUGUCACUUAUAGAUGGAUCCGCGCUGCAUUAGCUAGUUGGUAAGGUAACGGCUUACCAAGGCAACGAUGCAUAGCCGACCUGAGAGGGUGAUCGGCCACACUGGAACUGAGACACGGUCCAGACUCCUACGGGAGGCAGCAGUAGGGAAUCUUCCGCAAUGGGCGAAAGCCUGACGGAGCAACGCCGCGUGAGUGAUGAAGGUCUUCGGAUCGUAAAACUCUGUUAUUAGGGAAGAACAUAUGUGUAAGUAACUGCGCACAUCUUGACGGUACCUAAUCAGAAAGCCACGGCUAACUACGUG
RNAcentral lists this ribosomal RNA (496 nucleotides) under uncultured bacterium. Its description in RNAcentral is "partial 16S ribosomal RNA". It matches the Rfam family "Bacterial small subunit ribosomal RNA", at positions 29 to 507 of the family's 1533-position model. The record is from RNAcentral.